UGUUUUCUACAACAGAUCUUGUAGAAGUUCCAAGAAAGAUACAAGAAGCAAUAUUCAAAAUAACAAUCAAAAUGAAUCAUUAAUAGAUAUUGAAUAUGAAUCAACAAUGGAUAUCCAACAUCAAUCGGCAAUAGAUGUUCAACAAUCGACAAUCAUGACAAUUCAACAAUUCAACAUGACAAUCUUAUUUUGGCUAAACCAAUAGUUGUCGAGAAUACAGUAACACAUAAUAAUAUCAGUCGAAAAAGAAAACGAUGUAAUGAUAUGGAAAAGAUUUUCCUAAAGACUGGUAAAUAUAACAUAGAAUGUAUAAGAAAAACGGAAUUUGCUACUAAUCAAGCUUGGAGUAAGUUUGUAAAAUAUGUUAAUUAUAAUAGAUAUUUGCACAAACUUUCUGUGACACGAAAGUCACGUGUACAGAAGAAAAUAGUAACGAUGCAAUCUGUAAUACAAACAUUG
This is a long non-coding RNA of Formica exsecta, 459 nucleotides long. RefSeq lists it as uncharacterized. The transcript has 2 exons. The record is from RefSeq and is a predicted model, not a curated record. Lineage: Eukaryota; Metazoa; Arthropoda; Insecta; Hymenoptera; Formicidae.